RNAcentral lists this ribosomal RNA (382 nucleotides) under uncultured eukaryote. RNAcentral's name for it is "partial 18S ribosomal RNA". It matches the Rfam family "Eukaryotic small subunit ribosomal RNA", at positions 592 to 976 of the family's 1831-position model. The record is from RNAcentral.
UGUAAGCGUAUACCAAAGUUGUUGCAGUUAAAACGCUCGUAGUCGGAAUUUGGCAGUUCCGGAUGUGUGCACGUCGUGUGCGCACUUCGCGGGGAUUGCUUUUGUGGUCUUGCGUAGGAUGAGGCACUUUUAUUAGUGAACGUCCUCACGCAACCACUUUUUACUGUGAGAAAAUCAGAGUGCUCAAAGCAGGCAUUUGCCGUGAAUGUAUUAGCAUGGAAUAAUAGAAUAGGACUUGGUUCUAUUUUGUUGGUUUUUUGGGACUGAGUAAUGAUUAAGAGGGACAGUUGGGGGCAUUUGUAUUUCGGUGCUAGAGGUGAAAUUCUUAGAUUACCGAAAGACAAACUGCUGCGAAAGCGUCUGCCAAGGAUGUUUUCAUUGA